Molecule: ribosomal RNA, 102 nt
Filed under: Acanthosepion pharaonis
Lineage: Eukaryota; Metazoa; Mollusca; Cephalopoda; Sepiida; Sepiidae
Source: RNAcentral
UUACGGCCAUAUCACGGUGAAACACCGGUUCCCGUAUGAUCACCGAAGUUAAGCAAUGUCGAACCUGGUCAGUACUUAGAUAGGUGACUGCUUGGAAAUUUC